This is a long non-coding RNA of Dama dama (fallow deer), 728 nucleotides long. RefSeq lists it as uncharacterized. The transcript is spliced from 3 exons. The record is from RefSeq and is a predicted model, not a curated record. Lineage: Eukaryota; Metazoa; Chordata; Mammalia; Artiodactyla; Cervidae.
CAACCCAAUGAGCGCAGGCCCCAAAGCGGCCCCCGCUUGUCAUUGGCUGGCAGCAGAGGCGUAGCCUGGAGCGUCACCGCCAAAGCUCUUCCCGGUACUGGCUGUGCAGUGAGGCUGGAUGGAGUCUCGGUUACCAGCUUGGUGUUGGUUCCUGCGGGUGAAAUUCCUGAGUCCUGACCCUAAGAAAACUUCCUUGCUGGCUCCUGUGAGCCACCCGGGCGUCUAUGUGACCUCAGACCGGAGGUUCACGGGAGACGAGGAGAAAAACUGGCUUGACGUUGAAACCCAGUAACCUGAAAAGAGGCCACACAGAUAGCCUCCUCUUAACAGCAGCCCUUGCCUGGACCCUUCCCCACCUCCACCUACCACCCUUUGUCCUGAGGGCGGUUCCGAAGGACGCAAGCGACUAAGUGGAGAUCGGUGACGAAAACGGCGGCCCAAGCUGCCAAAUACGCAGUUCGGAUUCUCCUUAACAGCGGGCAGCCUGCCUUUGGAAUGAUGAGAUGAAAAAAGUUGUGGCUUGCUCUUGCUGACAUGUACAAUUUCCAAACAUGGAAAGACUAACCCCAAUUGAGAACUAUGACUAGAGGAACCAAGGGACUGCUCUGAAUUUAAUCAUAUCAACAGGAGAAUGGAUUUGUAAUGAAGACAUACAGAGAACUUUGGGAGGAAAUGACCUGUUAUCCUGAAAAUUCUGUUAUCUAAGAAAUGGAAAGCAAGAUAUUUAA